Arachis duranensis is the source of this 1188-nucleotide long non-coding RNA. RefSeq lists it as uncharacterized. The transcript is spliced from 7 exons. NCBI's taxonomy places the organism in Eukaryota, Viridiplantae, Streptophyta, Magnoliopsida, Fabales, Fabaceae. The record is from RefSeq and is a predicted model, not a curated record.
UAACACGUUUAAGCGCGCCUUUUCUCUCUCUAUUGAAGAUGUGACGUCCUCCACUGUCGCCGCCGCUCGCGUCGCACGAGCUCCCUCCACCGAUGCUCUCAUCGCAUUUGCAACCUUCGUCGCCAUCGUCACACGAGCUCUCUCCACCGUGCUCUUAUCUUAGGAGCUCCUUCCGCCGCCGCUCUCAUCACUACUUCUUCUCUUCUCGUCGCCGUUAGUUUAGAAUACGAUCGAGGAGAGCUCUUAUGUUUGCAAAUCAGCUAUGGCUGCUGCAGAGAACGAAGUUUCUAAAUUCUAAGCUCCCAAGGUUCUGGUCCGAGGUUAGUUGCAGUUUCAAUUAGUUUUGGUGGGAUGCUUAUAUUUGCAAUGAUGCUUGGACUUGUCUCUGAUGCCAUUUCUGAGAAGUUCGACUCACUGAGGAAAGAAAAAAGUGAGGUAGUUGAGCAAAAUCAUACUUUGAUUCUUGGCUGGAGUGAUAAAUUGAACUGGGAGCUCACUGAUUCUGGCUGAUCUUAAAAAGUUUCAGGCAGUACAAACUUGAUAGAUGCAUGGCUCUCUAUUAACACUACUAGCACAGCAGAAGCUGUUUUUUUCCCCUCAUAUUGAUUGAUGGUUGAAAGGAAGAAGCAUUAAAUGAAAGAAGGAUGCACACUCCGAUUUCUUACAAACUUUUUUUGGAUUUCUUUUCAUGCUCCUUUUGUGUGUUCUCUUCAACUGAUUAAGUUGGUGACAGUGACGAAACCUUUACUGUUUCGAGCUUCAGCUACCUUGAGACUAGGCUUAUACCCUUUGAUUUGCAUUAUUUCAGAGUUUGAAUUUCAGUGGAUCGGAAUUGAAAUAUAAUAUAAAGUUGAAAGGUAACAUAUAUUAACAGGUUUAAAUACUUUGGAACAACUUUUGCAUGAGCUGUCAUCAAAUUCUUCACGCCCUCACGGCAUGUAUGUUCUGCUUUGGCUUCAGUAAUAAUGGGAAUGGCUCCUGUAUUAGGAAAGAGGAGUGCAAUCACAGUUGAAGCAAUACCUACAAAUCUCCAUAUCUUUGGUUGCUUCAGCUACUGCUGAAUCUUGAAGACCAAGGUCACCAUCUUGAGUUGUGAUCAGUGCUUAAGAAUUACUAGUUUCACAUAUUAUUUAGUAUGGUUGAACAAUACAUUGAGGAUUAUAGCUGAUGUAUCAAUACACUUUAUUU